This 492-nucleotide ribosomal RNA is filed under the name uncultured bacterium. RNAcentral describes it as "partial 16S ribosomal RNA". It matches the Rfam family "Bacterial small subunit ribosomal RNA", at positions 29 to 507 of the family's 1533-position model. The record is from RNAcentral.
AGUGAACGCUGGCGGUAGGCCUAACACAUGCAAGUCGAACGGCAGCACAGUAAGAGCUUGCUCUUACGGGUGGCGAGUGGCGGACGGGUGAGGAUUACAUCGGAAUCUACUUUUUCGUGGGGGAUAACGUAGGGAAACUUACGCUAAUACCGCAUACGACCUACGGGUGAAAGUAGGGGAUCUUCGGACCUUGCGCGAUUGAAUGAGCCGAUGUCGGAUUAGCUAGUUGGCGGGGUAAAGGCCCACCAAGGCGACGAUCCGUAGCUGGUCUGAGAGGAUGAUCAGCCACACUGGAACUGAGACACGGUCCAGACUCCUACGGGAGGCAGCAGUGGGGAAUAUUGGACAAUGGGCGCAAGCCUGAUCCAGCCAUACCGCGUGGGUGAAGAAGGCCUUCGGGUUGUAAAGCCCUUUUGUUGGGAAAGAAAAGCAGCAGGUUAAUACCCCGCUGCUCUGACGGUACCCAAAGAAUAAGCACCGGCUAACUUCGUG